This 116-nucleotide ribosomal RNA is filed under the name Verrucomicrobiaceae bacterium. The record is from RNAcentral. Lineage: Bacteria; Pseudomonadati; Verrucomicrobiota; Verrucomicrobiia; Verrucomicrobiales; Verrucomicrobiaceae.
UCUGGUGACCAUGGCACAGUGGUACCACCCGUUCCCAUCCCGAACACGGAAGUGAAACGCUGUUGCGCCGAUGAUAGUGGGGCGAUAGGCCCCGCGAAAGUAGGACGUCGCCAGAG